RNAcentral lists this long non-coding RNA (251 nucleotides) under Prunus persica (peach). RNAcentral describes it as "long non-coding RNA (PPER_LNC007452)". The record is from RNAcentral. Lineage: Eukaryota; Viridiplantae; Streptophyta; Magnoliopsida; Rosales; Rosaceae.
AUGGAUGUAAACUAGUCUAGCUUUUGAUUACGGGAACAAUUGUUCGAAGAGUUCCCUACCAUUUCCAUUGCAAAACCAUAAUUUUCUGCAUAUACUCACAGAACAAUCGCCAUCGCUAUUAAUAAUCUGUUCCAGCUUUGCUGAUGUAGACUGCAUUUGAUUUCAAGGAACCAUAAUAUUAGAAUAUCCAGAUCACUUGACAAAAUAUAUACAACCCCACAUUAAAGUCCUUUUUUUAUUUUUUAUUCUUU